CCCCACUGUGGAAGGCCUUGCUCUACAUUGCUGACCUUGGCCAUCUCCUGCAGGUGCCCACUGGAAGAGAUCAGCCCUGGCAGAACCAUUCGAGAGUGAGUGAAUGUAGAUGCCCUCAGUGAGGGGAAGAAUUUGGAGGGUAUCAGCCUUGAUAAAGGGUGCUCAAGCAUGCUGGUGCCUCUGCUCACCAUGAAUGUCAAGCCAUGGUAUUGUCUCCAGCUUCCCUUCUGGUAUAUUUGAAAGCUCAACACAUUGACAGAGCAUUUCAGAUAUGUAUUUCAAUAGAUAGCUCACCCAGUUUGCUGAAGAUAUCUGUGUCAAGAGGAAUUUCAGGGCGAUCCAUGAAGUUCUCUCCCUGGGUCACAAGGGCUUCCUUGAUCAGUGGAAGUCCAUUUACAAUCACAAAUGACUGGCUGCCUGCUUGCAUGCUGAAGAUAUCCCCAAGUUUUUCAGUAAGCUGCACAAGGGGUAAAUAAAUGAAUAAAUAGAUAAAUGGGGGUUGGUUUGCAAUGACGUUUUCUGCAGAAAGAGUGCAUGCCCUGGUAUCGUCCGCCCACAGGGAAGGACAG
Molecule: long non-coding RNA, 569 nt
Filed under: Gallus gallus (chicken)
Lineage: Eukaryota; Metazoa; Chordata; Aves; Galliformes; Phasianidae
Description: long non-coding RNA NONGGAT009055
Source: RNAcentral